AAACAUAAAAAAAAAAAAGAAAACCCUAAACUGAGUUACUGAAUCAGCACUCAGCAGCUCCUGCGCCGCAAGCCCGAAGUGCCGCACUCCAUCUCCAGAUUCACGGACUGAAUCAGUGCUACACUGCUACAGGCUGCUACUCACCUCAUGGCUCACGGAUCAUGGUCUCAGUGGCUCACAGCCUCACACGAGGAUUUCGGAUUUCCGGCGUUAACCUAGCUGGCCAGCUCACCUCACGUCGCCGUCGGACUCGUUCCCAGUUCUCACUUCUCAUUUCGGGGUUCUCUAUUUUCUGGUGGAAAUCUGCAAUAUAUAUUUCAAUGAGUUCGGCAGCAGGAAUUUGAUUCAUUUAGACAUGAUGACCUUGCUGCCCAUAUGCAAAAAAGUCAAUUGGAUCUUUACUUGGAUGAACCUAAGGCAGACAGAAAUGCAAAGAUUGACAUUCUUUCUUUUUGGAAAGGAAAUGAGUUUCGUUAUCCUGAUCUUGCUUGUAUAGCUCGUGAUAUUUUGAGUGUUCCAGUUUCUACAGUAGCAUCUGAAUUUACUUUUAGUGUUGGUGGGCGUAUCAUUGAUCAGUUUAGGAGUGCACUAAAAGUAGAUAUUGUUGAAGCAUUAGUCUACACUAGAGAUUGGCUAUAUGGCGAGGAGCAAUGUAACAUUAUUUUUACCUUAUUGAAUAAAUAAUUGUAAUUUUUCAAUACAAUAAUAUUAUUUGAUAUAAAAUUUUACUGAUAUCUUUUUUUUAAUAGAAACACAAGAGGUUAAAUUGGACGAGUUAACCGAAGAUGUAAUGGAGUUGGAGAAAAACAAGGACAAGGAGGACGCUCCACCUUAUUCUUGAAGCUCUAAAUUUGUUUAGAUCUGUGUUUUUAUUGUAUUUGGGAUUGUAAAAUUAAUAUAUUUUCUGUGUGUUUUGUUUAUUAUUUUGGGAUGUAAUAUUAAUAUAUUAGUACAAUGUGUGUGGA
Carya illinoinensis is the source of this 965-nucleotide long non-coding RNA. RefSeq lists it as uncharacterized. The transcript is spliced from 4 exons. Lineage: Eukaryota; Viridiplantae; Streptophyta; Magnoliopsida; Fagales; Juglandaceae. The record is from RefSeq and is a predicted model, not a curated record.